This 253-nucleotide ribosomal RNA is filed under the name uncultured bacterium. RNAcentral describes it as "partial 16S ribosomal RNA". It matches the Rfam family "Bacterial small subunit ribosomal RNA", at positions 524 to 776 of the family's 1533-position model. The record is from RNAcentral.
GACGUAGGGCGCGAGCGUUGUCCGGAUUUACUGGGCGUAAAGAGCGCGCAGGCGGUCGUGCAAGUCGCGUGUGAAAGCCCCCGGCUCAACUGGGGAGGGUCACGCGAUACUGCUCGACUCGAAGGCAGGAGAGGGAAGUGGAAUUCCCGGUGUAGUGGUGAAAUGCGUAGAUAUCGGGAGGAACACCAGUGGCGAAGGCGACUUCCUGGCCUGUUCUUGACGCUGAGGCGCGAAAGCUAGGGUAGCAAACGGG